RNAcentral lists this long non-coding RNA (688 nucleotides) under Vulpes vulpes (red fox). RNAcentral's name for it is "lncRNA (ENSVVUG00000015068.1)". Lineage: Eukaryota; Metazoa; Chordata; Mammalia; Carnivora; Canidae. The record is from RNAcentral.
GCCCACUGCUGUCUUGAGAGAGCCAGAUGUAGUCAACACAGAUCUUAUAUUCAUCUCAAAUAUCUUCUCUAGAAUAAGACUGCAGCUUAUUCCGGAAGAGAAAGGAAUCUGAGUAGAUGACAGAGCAGUGCUGCCCUCUGAAUGCAGUGGGCAUUGUUUACACCAAAAUACGCUGGGAAGAUGGUUAUGAACUAUUUCCACUUCUUACCACUGCUCCCCCAGGAAUGGAUGGCUUACAAACAGGAAAAGAAUGAGUCAUUUCAACCCAGGUUGGCAAACACAAGGCUGAGAGAAAAGUGACAGGAUCACAACUGAGAGGAGAACGCUUGCAGGAAGAGAAAUGUCUAAAUGGAAGAGGAGAAGCUAGAGGCAGAAUAGUAGUUAGGAGGUUAGUCCCGGUCCAAAUAAUGGAUAUUAAAGGCAAUGGCAGUGAAAGAGUCAAUCUGAAGAACUUAGGAAGUUGAAAUGAAAAUACAUAAUAAUAUCUAGUGAGGGGACAAUAGUGAAGCACUAUGUCAAAUAUAAUGCUUUUGCUUGGGUAUAAAGAGGGAUAACUUGUUUUGGUGCUGUGGUCUUCUUUUCCUCUCUUUUGUUGUCCUCCUCCUCUACCUUUUCUUCCUCCUCAAGUUCCUCCCAUUUCUUCUUCUUCAUUGAUUCUUAGGUCCACAUAUUUGAAUGGCAAAAUUGC